ACCAGNUCUUNGACAUCCUCUGACAAUCCUAGAGAUAGGACGUCCCCUUCGGGGGCAGAGUGACAGGUGGUGCAUGGUUGUCGUCAGCUCGUGUCGUGAGAUGUUGGGUUAAGUCCCGCAACGAGCGCAACCCUUGAUCUUAGUUGCCAGCAUUCAGUUGGGCACUCUAAGGUGACUGCCGGUGACAAACCGGAGGAAGGUGGGGAUGACGUCAAAUCAUCAUGNGCCUUAUGACCUGGGCUACACACGUGCUACAAUGGACAGAACAAAGGGCAGCGAAANCGCGAGGUUAAGCCAAUCCCACAAAUCUGUUCUCAGUUCGGAUCGCAGUCUGCAACUUUGGGGCGUAAAGCUGGAAUCNCUCCUCUUAAAAAAUCA
RNAcentral lists this ribosomal RNA (378 nucleotides) under Bacillus sp. MBIA2.35. Its description in RNAcentral is "bacterial SSU rRNA". It matches the Rfam family "Bacterial small subunit ribosomal RNA", at positions 973 to 1335 of the family's 1533-position model. The record is from RNAcentral. Lineage: Bacteria; Bacillati; Bacillota; Bacilli; Caryophanales; Bacillaceae.